CCAUCAGCCACACAGGGAAAAAAUCUAGCCAAUAGCAGCAAUCCAUUAAUGUCUCUGCUAAGGAUCUCAGGGCAUUGUGAGUGUAAAUAAAGCCUCACAGGGAUCCUGUGAAGAAGAUGUUAUUGUCUCUGUUUUACAGGGGGUGAAACUGAGGCACAAGGGCUGUAAACAGAUGUCCCAUCUGAGGCAGUCCUGAUUGAUCCAAGCCAAAAUCUGAGACAAAAGAGGAGUGGCACAAAAACGUUGGAACAACCACAGAGCUAUUUCCCGUGUGAUCCCCCUUUUCUACCUUGCACGCCCCCUGGAAAGGGCUAUAGUGGAAGCCAAGGGGUGAGGACUACUUCAAACCAGCUACUUUCACAACUGACCCCGUCAGACAGAUAUCACAGCUGACCUUCUGGAUUUACCUCUGCAGAUUUUCUCUUCACUCAAUAGGCAGCAGAGAGAAUCUACCUUAAAUUAACUCACCGACUUACGCUGCUGUGGGAGAACACAAUCUGGACCAUAAUGGCUCCAUUAUAUGUGGAGUAAUGGCCACAGGGAAGUAGGGAGAUUGCAGGUUCUAGCUCUGAAUGAGGCUGCCAACUCUUGAGACUGUCAGGAAACUUGUAAUAUCUGAUUUUUCCUUCUUAAAUCAUGGAGUAGUGUGAGUCUAUGAGACUUUCAGCUUGAAAAAAAAAAUAAAAUCUAAACUUAAUUUCUAAGUUUCUAGCUCUCAGAUUUUCACAAAACAACUUGAAAACGUGACUCAAGCUCACCCAAAAAGUUAAAAGAAAACCUUCACAGACAUAGAAGUAAUAAAAAAAAAUGGAUUAUUAAAAAGAAAGCAACUCACUGUGUUUAUGCCAAUGCCAGGAUUUUUGAAUGUUUGGGGCUAGUAAUACUGUUGACCAUGGGGAGGACACUAAAAAGAGUCCACACCUCGGAUUAAUUCUCUUUGGAGUUAAAAAAAAACUUUCAUCUGAGUUUUCAGGACUAUUAUUUUGGACAAGGAGAUCACAGAGCUAGAAGAGUGAGCUUGCUUCUCAUAUAACUAUACAUUGCAAGUCACUUCCCUUCACUUCGCUCAACACUCGUUUCUUUGGUUUCUCUUCCCAGUAUUCGAAAAGCUUUGUGAAUUUUCCAGCUUGUAGAAAUUGUGUGUCCCCCAUUCUGUUGAGGGGCCAACAUUUUCAAAACCAGCUGGGUGUUAUAGGGAUGUGAUCUCCAGAGACACAGUGCUCAGCCCUCUUGAAAAUUAGGCUCCUUUUUAGGUGUUUCAAGCUGGACACUCUAAACUGACUAGCCAUGAGAUGAGACUGAUGAAACCUGUCUCUUGCCUGCCUUUCUGCACCCUUUCCAAAGUCCCCUGAGAAAGUCAGCACUGCAGAUUUGGCACUUAUUCAUGUACAAUGAGACUUUGGCAUGGAAAGCAAACUUGGCCAGCCAUAUAUCACCUAACAUAUCUGUUACAUAGCAUUGUUUUAUGCUGUUCAAUGGUGGUUGCAUUCCCCCCAGAGGUGGCUGUGUUGCUGUGGUAGGAGAAUUCAUCUAUUUGCCAUCCCUGAUCUGCACCGAGGGGUUAUUUUAUUCAUAAUGUGUGAUGAAGUUUGUGAGAAGGUGUGAUAUCCUGUCACACACAUGUAGUAUGUCAUGAGAUACACUAUGUACAUGCAAAUAAAUAAACAUUAGCAUAUGCUGA
Molecule: long non-coding RNA, 1681 nt
Organism: Alligator mississippiensis (American alligator)
Lineage: Eukaryota; Metazoa; Chordata; Crocodylia; Alligatoridae
Exons: 2
Source: RefSeq, a predicted model, not a curated record